UAGGGAAUCUUCCACAAUGGGCGCAAGCCUGAUGGAGCAACGCCGCGUGAGUGAAGAAGGUCUUCGGAUCGUAAAACUCUGUUGUUAGAGAAGAACAUGCAGGAGAGUAACUGUUCAUACGUUGACGGUAUUUAACCAGAAAGUCACGGCUAACUACGUGCUAG
Molecule: ribosomal RNA, 164 nt
Filed under: uncultured bacterium
Lineage: Bacteria
Description: partial 16S rRNA
Rfam family: Bacterial small subunit ribosomal RNA
Source: RNAcentral